This 40-nucleotide small RNA is filed under the name Arabidopsis thaliana (thale cress). RNAcentral describes it as "ATSL040900". The record is from RNAcentral. Lineage: Eukaryota; Viridiplantae; Streptophyta; Magnoliopsida; Brassicales; Brassicaceae.
UAGGGGAUAGAGAUAUAGGACGUCAUGCACAAAACUUCUU